UACGUAGGGUGCAAGCGUUGUCCGGAAUCAUUGGGCGUAAAGCGCACGUAGGCGGCCCGAUAAGUCGGAUGUGAAAUCCCUCGGCUUAACCGGGGAACUGCGUCUGAUACUGGAUGGCUGGAGUUUGGGAGAGGGAUGCGGAAUACCUGGUGUAGCGGUGGAAUGCGUAGAGAUCAGGUGGAACACCGAUGGCGAAGGCAGCAUCCUGGCCGGAGACUGACGCUGAGGCGCGAAAGCUGGGGGAGCGAACGGG
Molecule: ribosomal RNA, 253 nt
Filed under: uncultured bacterium
Lineage: Bacteria
Description: partial 16S ribosomal RNA
Rfam family: Bacterial small subunit ribosomal RNA
Source: RNAcentral